GACCGCGUGGCCUGAUGGAUGAAGGCGCAUGACUUCGGAUCAUGAGAUUGCAGGUUCGAGUCCUGCUGUGGUCG
Pollicipes pollicipes is the source of this 74-nucleotide non-coding RNA. NCBI's taxonomy places the organism in Eukaryota, Metazoa, Arthropoda, Thecostraca, Pollicipedomorpha, Pollicipedidae. The record is from the annotation of a RefSeq genome assembly.